This is a non-coding RNA of Coffea arabica (coffee), 1182 nucleotides long. The record is from RefSeq and is a predicted model, not a curated record. Lineage: Eukaryota; Viridiplantae; Streptophyta; Magnoliopsida; Gentianales; Rubiaceae.
ACAAAAGUUUGAGAAGUAGUGCAGAAUUCACAAACAAACAAACCGUUCAAGUGGUCUUGCAGAUUCCCUCGUGGCAUAUAUUCAUAAACCAAGAACCUAUGCUUCCCAUCUGCACAAUAGCCUAUUAAAGAUACAAGAUUGGGAUGGUCCAAUCUGCUUAAGAUAUCAACUUCCACCCGGAAUUCGCGUUCCCCUUCUGCUGCUUUAAAUGACGGUGGAGCGCUGCCGUCAAUUUUCCAACACUCCACCGGUUUAUAUACCCCUGAAAAAGGGAAAGCAGAAAUUAAGGAAUUGAUCGCCAAAAAAAGCAAGUGAAUUGCAUGGGUGCAACAACUAAGUUGUAACGCAACAGGAGUAGAAGAAGACGAGACAUUAGAAACUGAAACAUACAAGGAUUGAUGUGAUCCUCGGACUUGCUUCUGCGGCGCUUAUUCCACGCUGAAACCAAACCGAACGGCAUGACAACUCUUGCUUAAGAUGAUCUCCAGUUUGUGGAUUGAAUAAAGCACGCAUUCAGUUGAAGAGUGAAGGGCUAUACUCAUGGCAGUCUAUGCUAUGCAACAGGAAAAGGAGAAUGAGAACUUACAAAGCUGGCUCGCAAAAAUAUGGAGGAAGAGAAGUUAAGAUGAUGGUCAUUACCUCAUUAUAGACUGGUUGGUGUUGAACCGGAGUCGUGCUGAUUAUACAGAUUGAGAGAAUUGGAGAAGGAUAUUAAGUAUAAGCAGAAUUUGAUACUAUGUAGCAUCAGAAUCCUGUAGGAGUACGUACAAAGCAACCGAACUGAGAGACUAGCUUUGAGAAAUACUCAAAAAAGUGUAGUAAUACCAAUCAGCCAACAACCUGCAAAUCUCACUUGAUGAACAAGAAAAAGUAAACAAAGGAAUGAAUAAAAUGGCCAAACCGGUUGCUUGCCUUUGAUAGAGGGGGGUGGUGUGGUGUGGUGGGGUAAGGGAGGUACCUCUGAAAAGGAAAGAGGAGCCGCAGCCUCACCUCCUUGUGAUUUUGUGUGACUUGCGAAAAGAUUGUUGUUGUUGUUUCCUUUUCAUUUUGAUUACUUUCUAAUCUUUUAUAUGAUUUACCUGUGUUGCAAUUAGAAUUUAGUAAGCAAGAAAAGGGCUGUUAUAUGCUGUUAGUGGUUUGAAAAAGGACGUUCAUGACAAUUGUUGGCGAGUCGUCGUGUGA